This 259-nucleotide unclassified non-coding RNA is filed under the name Hevea brasiliensis (rubber tree). The record is from RNAcentral. Lineage: Eukaryota; Viridiplantae; Streptophyta; Magnoliopsida; Malpighiales; Euphorbiaceae.
GGAAGGAGUAACUUUUUCAUUUCUGAGACACAAUUAGAAUAGUAUUUUGAUAUUGAAAUCUUGAAUUUGUGAUUGGGGGACAGAGGAGGAAAAGUAUAAAUUGAAAGUUUGAUCAUGUUAUAGGAUGACUUUCAGUGCUCUUGGAGGAAGAACUUAAAACACAUGUGGAUCUGUGCUCUUGGGUUCUGUGUAAGUAUGCGAAUUGCUUUUUGUGCUCUUGGCAUUCUCUUUUUCUUUACCAAGCAUGAAGAGAUUAAAG